GCAGCUCAGUGGUAGAGCAUCUGUCUUGCGUGCAGAAGGUCCCAGGUUCAAUCCCCAGGUAGGGCU
Non-coding RNA from Podarcis lilfordi (Lilford's wall lizard), 66 nucleotides. NCBI's taxonomy places the organism in Eukaryota, Metazoa, Chordata, Lepidosauria, Squamata, Lacertidae. The record is from the annotation of a GenBank genome assembly.